This 1361-nucleotide ribosomal RNA is filed under the name metagenome. RNAcentral's name for it is "SSU rRNA". It matches the Rfam family "Eukaryotic small subunit ribosomal RNA", at positions 4 to 1368 of the family's 1831-position model. The record is from RNAcentral.
CUGGUUGAUCCUGCCAGUGGUCAUAUGCUUGUCUCAAAGAUUAAGCCAUGCAUGUCUAAGCAGAAGCCGAAAACGGUGAAGCCGCGAAUAGCUCAUUACAACAGCCUUAGUUUCUUGGAUCUUCAACAGUUACUUGGAUAACUGUGGUAAUUCUAGAGCUAAUACACGCAUGAAAGUCCCAGCCGAGAGGCGGGGAUGCAUUUAUUAGUACAAAACCAAUCGAACGCCUUUGGACGUUCGUUUUUGGUGAAUCUGAAUAGCUCUGCUGAUCGCACGGUCUUCGCGCCGGCGACGUAUCUUUCAAGUGUCUGGCUUAUCAACUUUCGAUGGUAGUUUACACGACUACCAUGGUUGUAACGGGUAACGGAGAAUAAGGGUUCGACUCCGGAGAGGGAGCCUGAGAAACGGCUACCACAUCCAAGGAAGGCAGCAGGCGCGCAAAUUACCCACUCUCAGCUCGAGGAGGUAGUGACGAAAAAUAACGAGGCGGUCGUUUCUGACGGUCGUCAUCGGAAUGGGUACAAUAUAAAUCCUUUAACGAGGAUCUACUGGAGGGCAAGUCUGGUGCCAGCAGCCGCGGUAAUUCCAGCUCCAGAAGUUUAUGCCAAUAUUGCUGCGGUUAAAAAGCUCGUAGCUGGAUCUGCAGUUUUGGGCGUCGGUUCUCCGCAGGGGAUACUGACGACCCUGGCUCGAAUUGCCAGUCCGUUGUCGAUGCUCUUCGCUGAGCGUCGGCGAUUGCUGGCGCGUUUACUUUGAAAAAAUUAGAGUGCUUAAAGCAAGCGAACGCUUGGAUAGUUGUGCAUGGAAUAAUGGAAUAGGACCGCUGUUCUAUUUUGUUGGUUUUCGGAGCGGUGGUAAUGAUUAAGAGGAACAGACGGGGGCAUUCGUAUUGCGACGUUAGAGGUGAAAUUCUUGGAUCGUCGCAAGACGGACUACUGCGAAAGCAUUUGCCAAGAAUGUUUUCAUUAAUCAAGAACGAAAGUUAGAGGUUCGAAGGCGAUCAGAUACCGCCCUAGUUCUAACCGUAAACGAUGUAAACUAGCGAUCCGCUGUCGUUGACGUUUUGACUCAGCGGGCAGCUUCCCGGAAACGAAAGUUUUCCUAUUCCGGGGGAAGUAUGGUUGCAAAGCUGAAACUUAAAGGAAUUGACGGAAGGGCACCACCAGAGGUGGAGCCUGCGGCUUAAUUUGACUCAACACGGGGAAACUCACCCGGCCCGGACACUGGAAGGAUUGACAGAUCGAAAGCUCUUUCUUGAUUCGGUGGAUGGUGGUGCAUGGCCGUUCUUAGUUGGUGGAGUGAUUUGUCUGGUUAAUUCCGUUAACGAACGAGACUCUGGCCUACUAAAUAGUGUGCAGAUC